RNAcentral lists this ribosomal RNA (192 nucleotides) under Triticum aestivum (bread wheat). RNAcentral describes it as "partial small subunit ribosomal RNA". Lineage: Eukaryota; Viridiplantae; Streptophyta; Magnoliopsida; Poales; Poaceae. The record is from RNAcentral.
AUGGCGAGCCAGGGCCGACGAUUUGGCAUGGAUGCGGACUGCGACAGGGCGACCCCGUGUCGCCACAACUCUUCGUGCUCGCCGUGGACACCCUCGGGCGCCUCAUCCGCCGUGCACACGAGUCCGGCAUCCUGCAACAGCUGCACCCCCGACGAGCCAUCCCGACCAUCUCCUUAUACACCGAUGAUGUGA